Molecule: transfer RNA, 74 nt
Filed under: Candidatus Cloacimonadota bacterium
Lineage: Bacteria; Pseudomonadati; Candidatus Cloacimonadota
Also listed under: 1 other name
Description: tRNA-Arg
Rfam family: tRNA
About the family: Transfer RNA (tRNA) molecules are approximately 80 nucleotides in length.
Source: RNAcentral
GCCCCCGUAGCUCAGUUGGAUAGAGCAGUUCCCUCCUAAGGAAAAGGUCGCACGUUCGAGUCGUGCCGGGGGCG